RNAcentral lists this ribosomal RNA (1187 nucleotides) under Paratapes textilis (textile venus clam). RNAcentral describes it as "Paphia textile (textile venus clam) small ribosomal RNA". Lineage: Eukaryota; Metazoa; Mollusca; Bivalvia; Venerida; Veneridae. The record is from RNAcentral.
UGUUUUAGGAAUAAAUUUAGUUAAUUAAUAAUAUGAUUAUUACAAGAGAUGUAAUCUAGUUAGAUCUCUUAAGCGAAGGCAUUGUUUAAGAGUUGAAAUGAUUGUACUGCCCAUGAUACCACAUUGGUUAUCUCUUUGAUUGCACAUGGUAUUAGAAAGAAAAUUGAGAGGUCUACUAUAAACGAAAACAAAGUUGAAAAUAAAUUUGAUAAAAUUUUUGAAAAAUUUGUUCAAAGAGAUUUUUUAGGGUAAUUGAUGAAGGGCCUUUUUAUAGGGCUAAUUUAGUUUUAAUAACCUUAAGGGGAUUUUGGCGCUUUAAAUAGGUUCGUGUAGUUUUUUGCAACUGCCUUUUAGAAAAUCGAUAAUGGGCACGUUUUUAGGACUCAACACCAGUGCGGAACAUUAACAAAAUAUGAGGACAUAGUGUAAGCAAUAGGGAGUGAGAGAUGAUAAAUAUGAGUGCCAGCAAUCGCGGUUAGUCUUAUUUUCUCCAGCCAUUGAAUUAUCAUAUAAAAGUGAAAGUGGAAAAAAAAUUCUUAUCUGCGGUAGAGACGGUAAAAUGUAGCUACUAAGAAAAUUCUUGUAGAGAGUGUAAGUAAGAUUAUUUUUAAUAUAAAACCUUGUAAGGCUGCGUAGCUGAGACGGGGAUUUGUACCCCAGUAUUAACGCUCUUGAAUAAUGUGUGGGUACUACGAGCAAACGCGCUUAAAAACCAAAGAGGUUGGCGGUAUUCCAAAUCCGGUUAGGGGAACUUGGCGAUUAAAUCGAUGAACCUCGAACAUUUUACCCUUAGUAUACUUUGCAUACCGCCGUUGAGACAAGCUUUUGGGGGUCAAAGAACUUAAACGCAAAAUAUAAAAAGUUAUCUAAAGUAAGUUUGGUUACUGGUAAGUUAGGGUUUCUAUAGUAAUUCAGGUAAACGUGUAGGUUCUAAGGGGUUUAGCUGAGUUACAUUUUUAGUAAAUAGGCGGACAUAUAGGGUAAAACUAUAUUGAAGAUGUACUUGUUAGUAAAAUUUUUUAUAGAAGGAAUUUGAAUAGAGUUAUGGGAUGCGUACAAAUCGCCCGGCGCCCUCGAAUAGUCUAAAUUGAGGUAAGUCGUAACAUAGUAAUGCUAGUAGAAACUGGUGUUAAGCAAUAAUCAUGAAGACUAGUUGAAGAUUAGGAAUAGAAGUGUUAAUAGUAAAC